AACGCUAGCGGCAGGCCUAACACAUGCAAGUCGAGGGGUAACAGGAAAGCUUGCUUUUGCUGACGACCGGCGCACGGGUGCGUAACGCGUAUGCAACCUACCUCAUACUGGAGGAUAGCCCCUGGAAACGGGGAUUAAUACUCCAUAGUAUCACGAAUUCGCACGUUUUUGUGAUUAAAGUUUUUCGGUAUGAGAUGGGCAUGCGUCCCAUUAGCUUGUUGGUGAGGUAACGGCUCACCAAGGCAACGAUGGGUAGGGGGCCUGAGAGGGUGGUCCCCCACACUGGUACUGAGACACGGACCAGACUCCUACGGGAGGCAGCAGUGAGGAAUAUUGGUCAAUGGAGGCAACUCUGAACCAGCCAUGCCGCGUGAAGGAUGACGGCCCUAUGGGUUGUAAACUUCUUUUAUAGAGGAAGAAACUUGUCUACGUGUAGACAACUGACGGUACUCUACGAAUAAGGAUCGGCUAACUCCGUGCCAGCAGCCGCGGUAAUACGGAGGAUCCAAGCGUUAUCCGGAUUCAUUGGGUUUAAAGGGUCCGUAGGCGGGUCUUUAAGUCAGUGGUGAAAGCCGACAGCUCAACUGUCGAACUGCCAUUGAUACUGGAGACCUUGAGUACAAAUGAAGUAGGCGGAAUGAGUCAUGUAGCGGUGAAAUGCAUAGAUAUGACUCAGAACACCGAUUGCGAAGGCAGCUUACUAACAUGUAACUGACGCUGAGGGACGAAAGCGUGGGGAGCGAACAGGAUUAGAUACCCUGGUAGUCCACGCCGUAAACGAUCAUCACUCGCUGUUGGCGAUAUACUGUCAGCGGCCAAGC
This 821-nucleotide ribosomal RNA is filed under the name uncultured Bacteroidota bacterium. RNAcentral describes it as "bacterial SSU rRNA". It matches the Rfam family "Bacterial small subunit ribosomal RNA", at positions 32 to 852 of the family's 1533-position model. The record is from RNAcentral. Lineage: Bacteria; Pseudomonadati; Bacteroidota.